AACGAACGCUGGCGGCAUGCCUAACACAUGCAAGUCGAACGAGACCUUCGGGUCUAGUGGCGCACGGGUGCGUAACGCGUGGGAACCUGCCCUUAGGUUCGGAAUAACUCCCCGAAAGGGGUGCUAAUACCGGAUAAUGUCUUCGGACCAAAGAUUUAUCGCCUUUGGAUGGGCCCGCGUUGGAUUAGCUAGUUGGUAGGGUAAAAGCCUACCAAGGCGACGAUCCAUAGCUGGUCUGAGAGGAUGAUCAGCCACACUGGGACUGAGACACGGCCCAGACUCCUGCGGGAGGCAGCAGUGGGGAAUAUUGGACAAUGGGCGAAAGCCUGAUCCAGCAAUGCCGCGUGAGUGAUGAAGGCCUUAGGGUUGUAAAGCUCUUUUAACCGGGAUGAUAAUGACAGUACCGGGAGAAUAAGCUCCGGCUAACUCCGUG
RNAcentral lists this ribosomal RNA (433 nucleotides) under uncultured bacterium. Its description in RNAcentral is "partial 16S ribosomal RNA". It matches the Rfam family "Bacterial small subunit ribosomal RNA", at positions 29 to 507 of the family's 1533-position model. The record is from RNAcentral.